GUAAUGUUUUUUUUUUGUUGUUGUUUUUUUUUUUACCAUGGAAAGGAUCCUGUUAUUAUCCCCUACUGUUGUCUUCCAUAGAUGACCAGAGCUUUUUCAGUUCCUGAACUCACCACUGCACUCUUUUUUUUACCAGAAUGUACCAAAACUGUUGAUUUGGCCAGUCCCAACAUUUCCCAACAUCUCUCUAAUGGAUUUCUUCUUUUUUAAGGCUAAUCUGUUUCAGUUAUAUAUACAGCAACUUUGACUGCAUCUUUGUAGAAAAAAAGCUUCAUAUGAUAUUUGAAUUAAAUACCAUUUGUUUCAUUUCAAAUCCAGUGUUGUGGCCUUCAGAUCCCAAACCAUGAAGAUCAUGUCACUGUCCUAAUAUUUUUGAACCUAACUGUACAUAUAAUAACUAUCAUACAGAAAUAAGUGUGUUCAAUAAAACAUCUUCAAAGCUCUCCUCAUAGAGUCUAGGAUUAUUACUUACUUAUUAAGAAUUUUACUACAAAUGUUUAUUUUUUUAUGUGUGUAUAUGGGACAUAUAUGGUCCAAAUUUGCUCUAUACACUUACCUUCUCUGGAGUCUGGACUGGACUUUUGCCUGUAAGACAAUAAAUUAUAUUUUAUUAAUUUUAUUAUUUCUCUUAAUAAAAGUAAUU
This is a long non-coding RNA of Astyanax mexicanus (Mexican tetra), 643 nucleotides long. RefSeq lists it as uncharacterized. The transcript is spliced from 2 exons. The record is from RefSeq and is a predicted model, not a curated record. NCBI's taxonomy places the organism in Eukaryota, Metazoa, Chordata, Actinopteri, Characiformes, Acestrorhamphidae.